GCAGCCGCCGCGGGAAUACGAAGGGGGCUAGCGUUGCUCGGAACCACUGGGCGUAAAGGGUGCGUAGGCGGGUUAUUAAGUCAGAGGUGAAAUCCUGGAGCUCAACUCCAGAACUGCCUUUGAUACUGAUAGUCUUGAGUAUGGGAGAGGUGAGUGGAACUGCGAGUGUAGAGGUGAAAUUCGUAGAUAUUCGCAAGAACACCAGUGGCGAAGGCGGCUCACUGGCCCAUAACUGACGCUGAUGCACGAAAGCUAGGGGAGCAAACAGGAUUAGAUACCCCAGUAGUCCCUGUCUCUUAUAC
This 302-nucleotide ribosomal RNA is filed under the name uncultured bacterium. RNAcentral's name for it is "partial 16S ribosomal RNA". It matches the Rfam family "Bacterial small subunit ribosomal RNA", at positions 508 to 807 of the family's 1533-position model. The record is from RNAcentral.